Molecule: long non-coding RNA, 311 nt
Filed under: Oryza brachyantha (malo sina)
Lineage: Eukaryota; Viridiplantae; Streptophyta; Magnoliopsida; Poales; Poaceae
Description: long non-coding RNA (OBRA_LNC003097)
Source: RNAcentral
UGCACACACAUGUAGUAGUCAAACUAUAUAUAGGAUUGGAGGGCACGAGGAAAAAAUCCUGCACAUGGACCAAACUACACCAUUUACUAUCUCAGCAUCGUCCUGAUUCUAGGUUUUACUCCUCUAUCGAUGCAUUUUUGAACAUGUCAGUGUCACAUUCUGUCAUGACUUGGACUGAUUAAUUUUCGAUGCACAUACUAGCAAGGUGUAGAUUGGUGAGUUGUUUCUGAUGAUAAUAUCUAUGAAUCCGUUUGCCCUAGCAAUAAAUAAAAGAUGAACCGUUGAUGUACUCUCUCUCUCUCUCUUUUUGU